Molecule: long non-coding RNA, 238 nt
Filed under: Pelobates cultripes (western spadefoot toad)
Lineage: Eukaryota; Metazoa; Chordata; Amphibia; Anura; Pelobatidae
Source: RNAcentral
UUUCUGAUGACUUAAAGGUAGGCAGGCAAUGUAAUAGAGCAGCAGGAAAUGCUAGCAGAAUGCUUGGUUGUAUAGGGAGAGGUAUUAGCAGUAGAAAGUGCUCAUGCCAUUGUACAGAAAACUGGUGAGACCUCACUUGGAGUAUUGUACACAGUACUGGAGACCGUAUCUUCAGAAGGAUAUUGAUACCUUAGAGAGAGUUCAGAGAAGGGCUACUAAACUGGUUCAUGGAUUGCAG